This is a non-coding RNA of Ameiurus melas (black bullhead), 72 nucleotides long. NCBI's taxonomy places the organism in Eukaryota, Metazoa, Chordata, Actinopteri, Siluriformes, Ictaluridae. The record is from the annotation of a GenBank genome assembly.
CCUGUGCUGGCGCAGUAGGUAGGGCGUCAAUCUCAUAAUCUGAAGGUUGUGAGUUCAAUCCUCCGCACAGGU